This 433-nucleotide ribosomal RNA is filed under the name uncultured bacterium. RNAcentral's name for it is "partial 16S ribosomal RNA". It matches the Rfam family "Bacterial small subunit ribosomal RNA", at positions 29 to 507 of the family's 1533-position model. The record is from RNAcentral.
AACGAACGCUGGCGGCAUGCCUAACACAUGCAAGUCGAACGAGAAAUUCGGGACUAGUGGCGCACGGGUGCGUAACGCGGGGGAACCUGCCCUUAGGAUCGGAAUAACUCCCCGAAAGGGGUUGUAAUACCGGAAAAUGUCUUCGGACCAAAGAUUUAUCGCCAUUGGAUGGGCCCGCGUUGGAUUAGCUAGUUGGUAGGGUAAAAGCCAACCAAGGCGACGAUCCAUGGCUAGUCGGAGAGGAUGAUCAGUCACACUGGGACUGAGCAAAGGCCCAGACUCCUACGAGAGGCAGCAGUGGGGAAUAGUGGACACUGGGCGAAGGCCUGAUCCAGCAAUGCCGCGUGAGUGAUGAAGGCCUUAGAGUUGUAAAGCUCUUUUUCCUGAGAUCAUAAUGACAGUACCGGGAUAAUAAGCUCCGGCUAACUCCGUG